CCGUGACCCUUAAACAAAACAGACCGCGAACGAGUCACCCGUGCCGCCGGGCUCCGGCCCGGCACGCUGCCCCCCCGAACCUCCCGCGGGGAAGGGGGGGCCGCGAAAAAGGACCCACGGCGCCUCGGGCGCCAAGGAACACCAAUACUACCUCCUGCCCCGCGGAGCGGUCGGCCCGCCUUCCGCUCCCCGGGCAGUGGCUACACCCUAAUCGACACGACUCUCGGCAACGGAUAUCUCGGCUCUCGCAUCGAUGAAGAACGUAGCAGAAUGCGAUACCUGGUGUGAAUUGCAGAAUCCCGCGAACCAUCGAGUUUUUGAACGCAAGUUGCGCCCGAAGCCUUCUGGCGGAGGGCACGUCUGCCUGGGCGUCACGCCAAAAGACACUCCCAACACCCCCCCGCGGGGCGAGGGACGUGGCGUCUGGCCCCCCGCGCCGCAGGGCGAGGUGGGCCGAAGCAGGGGCUGCCGGCGAACCGCGCCGGGCGCAGCAUGUGGUGAGCGACAUCAAGUUGUUCUCGGUGCAGCGUCCCGGCGCGCGGCCGGCCAUUCGGCCCUACGGACCCAUCGAGCGACCGAGCUCGUCCUCGGACC
RNAcentral lists this ribosomal RNA (594 nucleotides) under Zea diploperennis (diploperennial teosinte). RNAcentral describes it as "ITS1, 5.8S ribosomal RNA, ITS2". The stretch from base 219 to 374 matches the Rfam family "5.8S ribosomal RNA". Lineage: Eukaryota; Viridiplantae; Streptophyta; Magnoliopsida; Poales; Poaceae. The record is from RNAcentral.